AACGCGAAGAACCUUACCAGGAUUUGACAUCCAACUAACGAAGUAGAGAUACAUUAGGUACCCUUCGGGGAAAGUGGAGACAGGUGGUGCAUGGUUGUCGUCAGCUCGUGUCGUGAGAUGUUGGGUUAAGUCCCGCAACGAGCGCAACCCCUAUUGUUAGUUGCUACGCAAGAGCACUCUAGCGAGACUGCCGUUGACAAAACGGAGGAAGGCGGGGACGACGUCAAAUCAUCAUGCCCCUUAUGUCCUGGGCUACACACGUAAUACAAUGGCGGUCAACAGAGGGAAGCAAAGCCGCGAGGUGGAGCAAAUCCCUAAAAGCCGUCUCAGUUCGGAUUGCAGGCUGCAACUCGCCUGCAUGAAGCUGGAAUUGCUAGUAAUCGCGGAUCAGCAUGCUGCGGUGAAUACGUUCUCGGGUCUUGUACACACGC
RNAcentral lists this ribosomal RNA (431 nucleotides) under uncultured Oscillibacter sp. RNAcentral describes it as "bacterial SSU rRNA". It matches the Rfam family "Bacterial small subunit ribosomal RNA", at positions 958 to 1393 of the family's 1533-position model. The record is from RNAcentral. Lineage: Bacteria; Bacillati; Bacillota; Clostridia; Eubacteriales; Oscillospiraceae.